Long non-coding RNA from Myzus persicae (green peach aphid), 768 nucleotides. RefSeq lists it as uncharacterized. The record is from RefSeq and is a predicted model, not a curated record. The transcript is spliced from 3 exons. Lineage: Eukaryota; Metazoa; Arthropoda; Insecta; Hemiptera; Aphididae.
GAAGCACCGUAGCAGUAUUGCCGUAGCGGUGACCGUAGGCUAGGCUUUACUCGUUUACUCUGUUGAUGUAUUUACUGCUUACUAGCUUACUGUGCCAUACUGCCAUGUGGUUCUUUAUGCCAUUUUGUUGUUUAUCUUGGUUCUUUUUUUACCAGUUUUUAAAUUUUAAUGUUCAUUGUAUUUCCAAUGAUAACGGUAUUAUAGUAUGACGUUUAAAUUAAUAAUAAUUAACGCUGAUUUAAUAUUCUAGCUACUUGGUGUAAUUUGUUGUAUCACAUUUUUCACCAUCAUCAUCUGCAUCAUCAUUUAUGGAUUUUAGUCGUCAGUUUUCUGGAUUCAAUUGGAUUUAAUCACCCUGUUGUACAUCUACCUACAUAGAAAUCUGACCAUAUUGCGUCUAGGAACAUCCAUUUCGGUCAUUUUGCGGUAUCGCUUGUCCUGUCUGAACGAUGCUGCUUUACUGAUGCGGAUUAAGAAGCGUAACUAAACUGUAAUAUGGAUCUGUUUUCAAUUUUUUAAGUCUUCUAGGUAUAGAAUUUAAUAUAACAACUUAUCGUCGGCCUAAGUCUCAAAAGGCAUAUAUCCCAAGAUUACACAUUUUUCAUUAUAAGAAAAAAUCAUUUAAUAAAUUCACUUUACAAAAUGUAAGACAUUUUUUUCUGCCUUCAUUGCAGGGUUCAAAGUACUGGGCCCAACCCAUUAAAACCCACCGGGUUUUAAUGGGUUGGGCCCAGUAAAAAAACCCAGUAAAAAACCCAGAAAAAAACC